GCAGUCGCCGCGGGAAUACGGAGGGUGCAAGCGUUACUCGGAAUCACUGGGCGUAAAGGACGCGUAGGCGGAUUAUCAAGUCUCUUGUGAAAUCUAACGGCUUAACCGUUAAACUGCUUGGGAAACUGAUAAUCUAGAGUAAGGGAGAGGCAGAUGGAAUUCUUGGUGUAGGGGUAAAAUCCGUAGAGAUCAAGAAGAAUACCCAUUGCGAAAGCGAUCUGCUGGAACUUAACUGACGCUAAUGCGUGAAAGCGUGGGGAGCAAACAGGAUUAGAUACCCCCGUAGUCCCUGUCUCUUAUAC
Molecule: ribosomal RNA, 302 nt
Filed under: uncultured bacterium
Lineage: Bacteria
Description: partial 16S ribosomal RNA
Rfam family: Bacterial small subunit ribosomal RNA
Source: RNAcentral